UAACUGUAACAGGGUUGAAAUAUUCAUUUCACGGAUUCUGUUCAUGUGUUCUGUUUUAAAUGUUAUUAUUUCCAUAUAACGCAUUGUGUUUACCUGGGUUACUUAUUAAGCUGUGCUCCUGUGGCCAGUCUUAGAGUUAAAGUCAGUCAAGCAUGUGAGUUACACAUGUCCAGUUUAUAUAAUUGUUCAGUCAGGCUUGACCAGUUAUUUUCCCGCCCUUUCCUUUGUCUUCUGGUCACUUCUAACUUGAACACAGAGCUGUACACGUCUACUUUUAAGAUGUACAUUUAUAGUACAGAGUUGCCAUUACUUCAAUAUAAGGUUAGUUCUAUUUCUACCUGUUUGCAUUUACUCUUUCUUGUAUUUGCAUUGAGUUGUAUUUAUGUUGUGAGUUGAUAUAACUCAUAUUUGAUAAGUAAUUAGGUUAAAUUCAGAAAAGCAGCAUUGCCAUCCUAAACGUGCUAACGAUUCCUAUAAUUCACAGUUUCCCAUACUCUUCACAUGUAUAAUCUUAUUUGCAGCAGUAGCACAGCACCCGCAGAGAAUUGUAUACGAUUGAGAGAGAGUUCCGUACACAUUCCACAAAUGUGACAUGGAAUUCGUAUAAUAAUAAAGACGAAUACAACAUA
Molecule: long non-coding RNA, 629 nt
Organism: Dreissena polymorpha
Lineage: Eukaryota; Metazoa; Mollusca; Bivalvia; Myida; Dreissenidae
Exons: 2
Source: RefSeq, a predicted model, not a curated record